This is a ribosomal RNA of Paenibacillus yonginensis, 2950 nucleotides long. It matches the Rfam family "Bacterial large subunit ribosomal RNA". The record is from Rfam. Lineage: Bacteria; Bacillati; Bacillota; Bacilli; Caryophanales; Paenibacillaceae.
GGUUAAGCUACUAAGAGCACACGGAGGAUGCCUAGGCGCUAGGAGCCGAAGAAGGACGUGGCGAACAACGAUAAGGCCUCGGGGAGCUGUAAGCAAGCUUUGAUCCGGGGAUGUCCGAAUGGGGAAACCCGGCUGGUGUAAUAGCCAGUCACUCGUAACUGAAUACAUAGGUUGCGAAGAGGCAGACCAGGGGAACUGAAACAUCUAAGUACCUUGAGGAAGAGAAAACAAGUAGUGAUUCCGUCAGUAGCGGCGAGCGAACGCGGAAGAGCCUAAACCAAGAGGCUUGCCUCUUGGGGUUGUGGGACGUCUCACAUGGAGUUACAAAGGAAUAGGGUAGGCGAAGAGGUCUGGAAAGGCCCGCUAGAAGAGGUAAAAGCCCUGUAACCGAAAGUCUGUUCCCUCCGAGACGGAUCCCGAGUAGUGCGGGGCACGUGAAACCCCGUAUGAAUCUGCCAGGACCAUCUGGUAAGGCUAAAUACUCCCUAGUGACCGAUAGCGAAGCAGUACCGUGAGGGAAAGGUGAAAAGCACCCCGGAAGGGGAGUGAAAGAGAACCUGAAACCGUGUGCUUACAAGAAGUCAGAGCCCUAUGAUAUUUUCCUUCGGAAAAAUCACGGGUGAUGGCGUGCCUUUUGUAGAAUGAACCGGCGAGUUACGUUCCCGUGCAAGGUUAAGGUGAGAAGCCGUAGCCGCAGCGAAAGCGAGUCUGAAUAGGGCGAGUAUAGUACGUGGGCGUAGACCCGAAACCGUGUGAUCUACCCCUGUCCAGGGUGAAGGUGCGGUAACACGCACUGGAGGCCCGAACCCACGAACGUUGAAAAGUUCGGGGAUGAGGUGGGGGUAGCGGAGAAAUUCCAAUCGAACUCGGAGAUAGCUGGUUCUCCCCGAAAUAGCUUUAGGGCUAGCCUCGGUGGUACAGUCGUGGAGGUAGAGCACUGAUUGGGUGCGGGGCCCGCAAGGGUUACCAAGCUCAGUCAAACUCCGAAUGCCAUAGACUGAUUAACCGGGAGUCAGACAGUGAGUGCUAAGAUCCAUUGUCAAAAGGGAAACAGCCCAGACCAUCAGCUAAGGUCCCCAAGUGUGUGUUAAGUGGGAAAGGAUGUGGAGUUGCCCAGACAACCAGGAUGUUGGCUUAGAAGCAGCCACCAUUUAAAGAGUGCGUAAUAGCUCACUGGUCGAGUGACUCUGCGCCGAAAAUGUAACGGGGCUAAACACACCACCGAAGCUAUGGCUUGAUGCAUUGCAUCAGGGGUAGGGGAGCGUUGUAUGUAGGUUGAAGGUGUACCGUAAGGAGCGCUGGACAGCAUACAAGUGAGAAUGCCGGUAUGAGUAACGAAAAGAUCAGUGAGAAUCUGAUCCGCCGAAAGCCUAAGGGUUCCUGAGGAAGGUUCGUCCGCUCAGGGUAAGUCGGGACCUAAGGCGAGGCCGACAGGCGUAGUCGAAGGACAACAGGUGGAAAUUCCUGUACCACCGUAAACCGUUAUGAGCGAUGGGGUGACGCAGCAGGGUAGUGACGCGGACUGAUGGAUGUCCGUCCAAGCAGUGAGAGGGUAGCAUAGGCAAAUCCGUGCUACAUAACCUUGGGCUGUGAUGGGGAGCGAAAAUUGCAGUAGCGAAGGUCAUGAUCUCACACUGCCAAGAAAAGCCUCUAGCCAGGUGAAGGUGCCCGUACCGUAAACCGACACAGGUAGGCGAGAAGAGAAUUCUAAGGCGCGCGGAAGAACUCUCGUUAAGGAACUCGGCAAAAUGACCCCGUAACUUCGGGAGAAGGGGUGCCUCGGUAGGGUGAAUAGCCCGAGGGGGCCGCAGUGAAAAGGCCCAAGCGACUGUUUAGCAAAAACACAGGUCUGUGCGAAGCCGCAAGGCGAAGUAUACGGGCUGACGCCUGCCCGGUGCUGGAAGGUUAAGGGGAGUGGUUAGGAGGUAACUCCGAAGCUAUGAACUGAAGCCCCAGUAAACGGCGGCCGUAACUAUAACGGUCCUAAGGUAGCGAAAUUCCUUGUCAGGUAAAUUCUGACCCGCACGAAUGGCGUAACGACUUGGGCGCUGUCUCAACGAGAGAUCCGGUGAAAUUUUAAUACCUGUGAAGAUGCAGGUUACCCGCGACAAGACGGAAAGACCCCAUGGAGCUUUACUGCAGCUUGAUAUUGGACUUUGAUACGAUUUGUACAGGAUAGGUGGGAGCCUAGGAAGAGGGAGCGCAAGCUUCCUUGGAGGCGCCGUUGGGAUACCACCCUGAUCGUAUCGGAGUUCUAACCUAGUACCGUGAACCGGUAUGGGGACAGUGUCAGGUGGGCAGUUUGACUGGGGCGGUCGCCUCCUAAAGAGUAACGGAGGCGCCCCAAGGUUCCCUCAGAAUGGUUGGAAAUCAUUCGAAGAGUGCAAAGGCAAAAGGGAGCUUGACUGCGAGACUGACAAGUCGAGCAGGGACGAAAGUCGGGCUUAGUGAUCCGGUGGUACCGCAUGGAAGGGCCAUCGCUCAACGGAUAAAAGCUACCCUGGGGAUAACAGGCUUAUCUCCCCCAAGAGUCCACAUCGACGGGGAGGUUUGGCACCUCGAUGUCGGCUCAUCGCAUCCUGGGGCUGAAGUAGGUCCCAAGGGUUGGGCUGUUCGCCCAUUAAAGCGGUACGCGAGCUGGGUUCAGAACGUCGUGAGACAGUUCGGUCCCUAUCUGUCGUGGGCGUAGGAAAUUUGAGAGGAGCUGUCCUUAGUACGAGAGGACCGGGAUGGACGCACCGCUGGUGCACCAGUUGUUCCGCCAGGAGCACAGCUGGGUAGCUAAGUGCGGAAGGGAUAAGCGCUGAAAGCAUCUAAGCGUGAAGCCCCCCUCAAGAUGAGAUUUCCCAAUUAGUAAGACCCCUUGAAGACGACGAGGUAGAUAGGCUGGAGGUGGAAGUGCAGCAAUGCAUGGAGCUGACCAGUACUAAUCGGUCGAGGGCUUAUCCAA